This 669-nucleotide long non-coding RNA is filed under the name Brassica napus (rape). RNAcentral's name for it is "long non-coding RNA (BNAP_LNC010200)". Lineage: Eukaryota; Viridiplantae; Streptophyta; Magnoliopsida; Brassicales; Brassicaceae. The record is from RNAcentral.
UAUUAGAUUUAGAGUAUAGAUUUAGAUUUAGUGUUUGAGGUUUAGAUUUUAAAUUUGAGAUUAGAUUUUUAAAUGAUUUAAUUUGAGUUUAAGUUUAAGAUUUAUAUUAUAAGUUUGAAUAUAUUACAUGGAAGGUUUAAGUUUGGGGUUUAGGGUAUUAGAUUUAGGGUGUAGAUUUAAAAUUUAGUGUUUGAGGUUUAUAAUUUAAAUUUGAGAUUAUAUUUUAAAAAUGAUAUUAUGAAAAUGUUUGAUCCUGUCGUAGCUAUUGUGGUAUUAGAUAUCAAUCGUAGCGUAUAAUGUUAUCUAGCAAUGUAAAGGAAGAAGCAAUACCUUGGUAUUUGAGGUUUAGAUUAAGUUUGGCCUGAGUUGUAAGAUUUGGGGUUUGGGAAUAGGGUUGGAUUUGGAGUUUAGAUUUAUGAAUUUAAGCUGAGUAUAUAUGAUUGUUAAAUUUUAUGAUUUGGAAUAUAGAGAUUAUGUUUAGAGUUUAGGGUUUCAAAUAUAAUGUUUGGAUUUAGUUUUAAGAUUUGGGGUUCGGGUAGGGUUUAGAGUUUAGAUAUAGGGUUUGGAAUUUAAAUUUCAUAUUUAAUAAUUUAUAAAUAUAGUGUUUGGAUUUAGUUUUGAUUUUUCAUUUAUUGUUUUGUGUAAUAAUAACCUACUAUGAAACAUUUA